CGGGGCUGAGCUGCGGGGUGGGCUGGGGGCCAAACGAGGAGCCCCGGGGCGAGGAGCGAGCUGGGGGUCGGAGGGCAUAUUAUGAAUCACCUAAUGCUUCAAAGAAAAAAAAUGUUUUAAAUUCCCAAGUUAACAAGAAAGAGCCUUCACCCACCCACCUUGGGAAACCUGAAGAUUAAGACUAUUUGGUGCAGAGUAGCAGAUGUACCUUCCCUCUGGUGUGCCGGGUGACUCUUCUGUUUCACGGUCCCAGUUGUCUGUGGGCAAACACACAAAUUAAAAAGAGGAGGAGGGGGCUGUGUGCCCUGCUUGGGCAGGCUCUGCACAGCUCUGGGUAGCUGUGGAGGAUGCAGGUAGGCAAGCAGAUACAGAAAUCUCCUGGGAGGCAAAUCUGUGUGUGAGAAUCCUUUCCCA
RNAcentral lists this long non-coding RNA (414 nucleotides) under Lonchura striata (white-rumped munia). RNAcentral describes it as "domestica (Bengalese finch) lncRNA (ENSLSDG00000013121.1)". Lineage: Eukaryota; Metazoa; Chordata; Aves; Passeriformes; Estrildidae. The record is from RNAcentral.